UCUAGACUCCCUUCCUGAGCUCCACAGCGCCCUGCUGCUGUCAGCGCUGAGUUCACACACACCUGUCUGGAGGACCAUGCUGUCACACUGUUUGCUGGUGCUGCUGCUGCUGCUGCUGAGGAGUUUCUUAGCGCAGACUGUAAUUGAGCAGAGCCCACGCUACAUUGCCAAGUUACCAGAAGAGAAAGCCGAGAUGAGCUGUACUCUCAGUGGGACCUCCAGUCCCUAUCUCUACUGGUACAGACAGCAUGGCAGUGGAGAGAUGGAGUUCCUCUUUUUCUCCAGGGGCAAGGGGAUGUUUGAUGAUUCUCCGGUGAAAGACUUUAUACCAGAGAGAAAAGAAGACCUUUUCCUCAGCCUGCGCACAGAUAGCCUGAGAGUGAACCACACUGCAGUGUAUUACUGUGCCUGGAGUAGACACAGUGACUGAGGCACACAGGGCCCCUGAAC
Molecule: non-coding RNA, 450 nt
Organism: Lepisosteus oculatus (spotted gar)
Lineage: Eukaryota; Metazoa; Chordata; Actinopteri; Semionotiformes; Lepisosteidae
Source: the annotation of a RefSeq genome assembly